This 793-nucleotide ribosomal RNA is filed under the name Microbacterium sp. Ni1. RNAcentral describes it as "bacterial SSU rRNA". It matches the Rfam family "Bacterial small subunit ribosomal RNA", at positions 29 to 832 of the family's 1533-position model. The record is from RNAcentral. Lineage: Bacteria; Bacillati; Actinomycetota; Actinomycetes; Micrococcales; Microbacteriaceae.
AUGAACGGCUGGGCGGCGUGCUUAACACAUGCAAGUCGAACGAUGAAGCCCAGCUUGCUGGGUGGAUUAGUGGCGAACGGGUGAGUAACACGUGAGCAACCUGCCCCUGACUCUGGGAUAAGCGCUGGAAACGGCGUCUAAUACUGGAUAUGUCCCGUCACCGCAUGGGGUGUGGGUGGAAAGAUUUUUCGGUUGGGGAUGGGCUCGCGGCCUAUCAGCUUGUUGGUGAGGUAAUGGCUCACCAAGGCGUCGACGGGUAGCCGGCCUGAGAGGGUGACCGGCCACACUGGGACUGAGACACGGCCCAGACUCCUACGGGAGGCAGCAGUGGGGAAUAUUGCACAAUGGGCGGAAGCCUGAUGCAGCAACGCCGCGUGAGGGAUGACGGCCUUCGGGUUGUAAACCUCUUUUAGCAGGGAAGAAGCGAGAGUGACGGUACCUGCAGAAAAAGCACCGGCUAACUACGUGCCAGCAGCCGCGGUAAUACGUAGGGUGCAAGCGUUAUCCGGAAUUAUUGGGCGUAAAGAGCUCGUAGGCGGUCUGUCGCGUCUGCUGUGAAAUCCCGAGGCUCAACCUCGGGCUUGCAGUGGGUACGGGCAGACUAGAGUGCGGUAGGGGAGAUUGGAAUUCCUGGUGUAGCGGUGGAAUGCGCAGAUAUCAGGAGGAACACCGAUGGCGAAGGCAGAUCUCUGGGCCGUAACUGACGCUGAGGAGCGAAAGGGUGGGGAGCAAACAGGCUUAGAUACCCUGGUAGUCCACCCCGUAAACGUUGGGAACUAGUUGUGGGGUCCUU